Molecule: ribosomal RNA, 490 nt
Filed under: uncultured bacterium
Lineage: Bacteria
Description: partial 16S ribosomal RNA
Rfam family: Bacterial small subunit ribosomal RNA
Source: RNAcentral
AUUGAACGCUGGUGGCAGGCCUAACACAUGCAAGUCGAACGGUAACAGGAAGAAGCUUGCUUCUUUGCUGACGAGUGGCGGACGGGUGAGUAAUGUCUGGGAAACUGCCUGAUGGAGGGGGAUAACUACUGGAAACGGUAGCUAAUACCGCAUAACGUCGCAAGACCAAAGAGGGGGACCUUCGGGCCUCUUGCCAUCGGAUGUGCCCAGAUGGGAUUAGCUAGUAGGUGGGGUAACGGCUCACCUAGGCGACGAUCCCUAGCUGGUCUGAGAGGAUGACCAGCCACACUGGAACUGAGACACGGUCCAGACUCCUACGGGAGGCAGCAGUGGGGAAUAUUGCACAAUGGGCGCAAGCCUGAUGCAGCCAUGCCGCGUGUAUGAAGAAGGCCUUCGGGUUGUAAAGUACUUUCAGCGGGGAGGAAGGGAGUAAAGUUAAUACCUUUACUCAUUGACGUUACCCGCAGAAGAAGCACCGGCUAACUCCGUG